This 58-nucleotide transfer RNA is filed under the name Salmo salar (Atlantic salmon). It matches the Rfam family "tRNA", at positions 8 to 63 of the family's 71-position model. Rfam says of the family: Transfer RNA (tRNA) molecules are approximately 80 nucleotides in length. Their secondary structure includes four short double-helical elements and three loops (D, anti-codon, and T loops). Lineage: Eukaryota; Metazoa; Chordata; Actinopteri; Salmoniformes; Salmonidae. The record is from Rfam by way of RNAcentral.
UGGCUCAGUUGGUAGAGCAUGGUGUUUCCAACGCCAGGAUUGUGGGUUCGAUUCCCAC